RNAcentral lists this ribosomal RNA (1359 nucleotides) under uncultured bacterium. RNAcentral's name for it is "bacterial SSU rRNA". It matches the Rfam family "Bacterial small subunit ribosomal RNA", at positions 28 to 1363 of the family's 1533-position model. The record is from RNAcentral.
AUUGAACGCUGGCGGCAGGCCUAACACAUGCAAGUCGAGCGGAAACGAGUUAUCUGAACCUUCGGGGGACGAUAACGGCGUCGAGCGGCGGACGGGUGAGUAAUGCCUAGGAAAUUGCCCUGAUGUGGGGGAUAACCAUUGGAAACGAUGGCUAAUACCGCAUAAUGCCUACGGGCCAAAGAGGGGGACCUUCGGGCCUCUCGCGUCAGGAUAUGCCUAGGUGGGAUUAGCUAGUUGGUGAGGUAAUGGCUCACCAAGGCGACGAUCCCUAGCUGGUCUGAGAGGAUGAUCAGCCACACUGGAACUGAGACACGGUCCAGACUCCUACGGGAGGCAGCAGUGGGGAAUAUUGCACAAUGGGCGCAAGCCUGAUGCAGCCAUGCCGCGUGUGUGAAGAAGGCCUUCGGGUUGUAAAGCACUUUCAGUCGUGAGGAAGGUAGUGUAGUUAAUAGCUGCAUUAUUUGACGUUAGCGACAGAAGAAGCACCGGCUAACUCCGUUGCCAGCAGCCGCGGUAAUACGGAGGGUUGCGAGCGUUAAUCGGAAUUACUGGGCGUAAAGCGCAUGCAGGUGGUUUGUUAAGUCAGAUGUGAAAGCCCGGGGCUCAACCUUCGGAAUAGCAUUUGAAACUGGCAGACUAGAGUACUGUAGAGGGGGGUAGAAUUUCAGGUGUAGCGGUGAAAUGCGUAGAGAUCUGAAGGAAUACCGGUGGCGAAGGCGGCCCCCUGGACAGAUACUGACACUCAGAUGCGAAAGCGUGGGGAGCAAACAGGAUUAGAUACCCUGGUAGUCCACGCCGUAAACGAUGUCUACUUGGAGGUUGUGGCCUUGAGCCGUGGCUUUCGGAGCUAACGCGUUAAGUAGACCGCCUGGGGAGUACGGUCGCAAGAUUAAAACUCAAAUGAAUUGACGGGGGCCCGCACAAGCGGUGGAGCAUGUGGUUUAAUUCGAUGCAACGCGAAGAACCUUACCUACUCUUGACAUCCAGAGAACUUCCCAGAGAUGGAUUGGUGCCUUCGGGAACUCUGAGACAGGUGCUGCAUGGCUGUCGUCAGCUCGUGUUGUGAAAUGUUGGGUUAAGUCCCGCAACGAGCGCAACCCUUAUCCUUGUUUGCCAGCGAGUAAUGUCGGGAACUCCAGGGAGACUGCCGGUGAUAAACCGGAGGAAGGUGGGGACGACGUCAAGUCAUCAUGGCCCUUACGAGUAGGGCUACACACGUGCUACAAUGGCGCAUACAGAGGGCAGCAAGCUAGCGAUAGUGAGCGAAUCCCAAAAAGUGCGUCGUAGUCCGGAUUGGAGUCUGCAACUCGACUCCAUGAAGUCGGAAUCGCUAGUAAUCGUGGAUCAGAAUGCCACGGU